Molecule: long non-coding RNA, 2592 nt
Organism: Mugil cephalus (flathead mullet)
Lineage: Eukaryota; Metazoa; Chordata; Actinopteri; Mugiliformes; Mugilidae
Exons: 4
Source: RefSeq, a predicted model, not a curated record
GGCCCCGCCCCCCGCUCCUGUCGGGAUUGGCCCCGAGGCAGGAACUUUUAUAAAAUGGGAGUCCUAUCCGUUCGCUGUCCGGUUUCAAAAAUAGGAGACAGAGGUUCUUUUGAAAUACAACCAUUCCCCUUAUAGAGCUUGAACGACCAGCGCAGCUUCUGGACGGCUGAACCCUCAAUGAGCAUGCUGAUGGCCAUGACGUACUCCCUGAAAUCAACCACCCCGUCCUGAAGAAACACAGCCCAGCAUCACCGCUCACUUCAUCUCUACUGAAACUUUGUUGUACUUCAUGCGGCAGAAGAAAGAGCGUCGUGCGCCUGAGCACAGCCGCGCUGCACCGACGGGGAGGUCGGCCUGAACCUGGAGACCGGCUGCAGACACGAACGGAGUGUUAAGUACCCAGUGACCCGGAGAGUCAUUAACAGAUCAGCAGCAACUUGACUUUUAAUCCUGGAUGGGUGGAUUACAGGGCAACAAAGAUGGCAAGUUGUUGACUGGACACAGGACCCCAUAACUCCCAACAAUCCCUCUCUCAAGUUCACGUUUGUGUGUUCGUUAAAUGUUUAAUUCACCUGAUACUUGAAUGAGCGCCUCAUGAAUGAACCGACGAUCUGUACUUCCUGCUCGUGUUUUUUUUUUUACCCGGUAAUAGUAUCAUGUGAAAUUAUCGCAUUCUAGUUCAUUUCACGUCAGCGAUCUGUGAAAACAGCCGAAGAAAUGUAACUGUGAGGUUGUUAUAUUUAUGCACCGAUGUGUGCAACAAGAAACAACCACAAAGAGCACAGACAGCAAACUGUGCGGUAAAACGAGUCACGAGCUACCUUGUGCCACCCGGACUUAGAUUCCUAAAAUUAAUCGUGCAGUCCCCUGGGAUGUACCCAGCAAGUCCUCAUUCUUCAUUUUUUAAUUGUUUGCUGCCCUCAAACAUUUAUGCUGCGAUGGCACAAAGUUAACACCAUCAACACUGAACAAGAAUUAAUGCAACCCACAGAACCCACCUGAAAAUGCCAGGACAAGAAAGUGCUGGGACAUUGUUUCCGAAGGGCAAUUAAAUGGUUUUGUAUUGCAGGUUCUGUCACGUGAGAUCAUUUUGUGGCCACAUCAAAUUCAGCUAAAAGUUCAAAGGUUCAAAAAAAUUCCUUCCUGUGUGUCAACUGCUCAGAGAGACUCACUGAAGUCAAUCUACUGUUAAAACAUAAAUUUAAUAAUGUGGCAGCGUGCAAGGUAUUUAUAAGAAGAUUUUAGUGUUAUAGGACUAAAUCCAGCACCGUUUUUGAACCUGGUCUUUAAAAGAUUUGUAUCCUUAAGGAUUCCAGAUGUAUAAUCCUAAAACAAUCUGUUGGCUUUCCAUACAUCUAAUAGGUGUCCAUUUUAAUACCAAAUCCCAAAUCCUCAUAUUUAUUAAUACUGCGUUUUAACUCCUAAUCUAGGAAAUCUGAGGACAAGCCAGAAAUAACUGAAGUAAUGAUCCUGUUUGACCUACAUUGUAUGUAACUCCCUGACUACACAUGGGCCAGUGGGCAUUGUAACAGCUAUGCAAGAUAAAUAAUCUCACCUUUUUUUUUUUUUUUUUACAGAAAGAUUAUUUCAACACCGGAUGCAUCGCAUUAACAACUAUAUUUUUAUGUCCGUCUGAAAUUUGAUAGAAGCAGUUGCUGUUAAUUACGUAAAAACGCAUUUUUAAACAUUUCUUUUCCCCCUCUCAGUUUGAGCCGUGUUAUGUGUGUGUAUUUUAUUGUUAAUUGGGCUUUCAGCGUCUAGAUUUAAGGGGACAUACUACAGUCUCUUAAUAGGGACACUUCCUGUUUUGACAAUUUAUGAAAUCUCUCUUUCAAAAAAAAAAAGGACGCUUCUUCAGUGCAAUGUAUCAUAAUUUUACAGAGCAAAUAAAACCUAACGUCGGCGUCACUUAACAAAAGGAGUAUGACUUCAUGUAUUGUUUUCGGGUCAAAUAAAUAAAGGGGUGUAUUUGGAAACAUGCUGUAGUCGGUGACAGAGUAAAGAGAAAAGGGUUCAGCUAACUUACAGGCUGCCAGCUAACACAAAAACUAAUAUAUAUGGCAGCUUAAGAUGUCAGGAAAGCCUAAACGGCAAUAAAAAUAGCUGCUAUUUUAUAUUACACAUUACAGAAUAGCAAAUUAUUAAAAGUAUUCACAGUAAUUUACUGCUCUGGGCUGUAAAACUCCCUCUAAUGGACUCGGUCUGUGUUGGGCUCAUUGCCCUGGUAUCCAAGGCCUUGUUGCUAAGCUAACUUUUGGUUUAUUGGUUUGUGUAAACAUUAGCAGGAAUUAAACGCACAGUUUUUUUUGUUUUUUUUUUGCGUGUAAAUGAUGUCGCCCCCGUUGACAAAUAACACGUCCAUAUUCUUCGUGAUAAUUUGGCGGAGUGACAAACACCGUCGUGCAGGGUUACAUAAAUGUCGUAGCGUUAGAGGGCGAGCUUGCUCCACUGAUCUACUGACCUAGUUUCGGGAUGGCGCAAAGUGAACCGGUGAGAAACUAAACGCCGCUUACGCUUCCUUCCUUCCUCCUUUCUGGUAAAUCGCUGUGCCGGACGCAGCAUGUGUCCGCACCAAAACUGGAAGACAACACA